UAAGUGACACAGUGAAGAUGUUCUAUAAAACCAUUGUCUGCCAUGUCUACAAAGCCACAGCACAAACUGAUCCUCAGUCCAGUACCUACCUAAACCCUAAUCAAAAUUAAGAUGAGAAUUUUUGUAAGAUACAAAGGAGUUCCAGUUUCUGAUGUGCAGUUAAGGAAACUAUUCAGUCGAUUUGACAAGAACAAAGACAAUCGUCUGAGCAGGGAAGAGAUAAGUGAAGCUUUCAGUGAACUUGGUGGAUUUUUCCCUGAUUAUAGAGCCGGCCGUGUGCUCACCCAUUAUGAUACUAAUGAGGAUGGCUUCAUCGACUUAGGAGAAUGCACAAAUUGUUGGUCUGAAACGCUUGGCUUAACUUCUGAAGUGCUGGUGUUAAAGAGUACGUUCAAAUUGUUCAUCUGAAAAAUCUGGGUGGGUGACACAUGCAUUAUUUGAUUUGUUGAACAAAUUGUUCAACUCUCAAGUCUGCAUGAAGCUCUUUUAAUUUCUCCAUAACGCAGCUAAUUUGCUUAUUCAAUCUUGGAUUAUUAACUUCUUUAUCACUGAGGAUAUAUAGCAUGUAGUUUUUUCAUCAGAAGCUGCACAACUGAUACCGAAGCCAUGUUCUCCACUUCUUCAGAAGCCAAAUUCACAACGUGGUUAAGCUUUUGAAGUGACUGGCACUAUUUUUGGAGAACUUUUGCACUGCAAUGUACAAAAUUGCAGAGCAAAGUAGGAAGCAACAAGAUUAAUUCAUGUGGAUGAGUUUUGAGCAACGACUCGUUCAAUAUUAAAAUUUUACUAGUUUGUAAAACCAUGCUAUGGCUAUUGUUGUAGUUAUUAUAAAAAAUGUUAAUUAAUUAAAUUUGAACUAUAAAAUAAUUUGAAUAUUCUCUCACAC
Molecule: RNA transcript, 886 nt
Organism: Manihot esculenta (cassava)
Lineage: Eukaryota; Viridiplantae; Streptophyta; Magnoliopsida; Malpighiales; Euphorbiaceae
Gene name: probable calcium-binding protein CML28
Exons: 3
Source: RefSeq, a predicted model, not a curated record